UGAAGGAACACAAAGAUGCUAGAUUAGCCAU
Molecule: non-coding RNA, 31 nt
Filed under: Homo sapiens (human)
Lineage: Eukaryota; Metazoa; Chordata; Mammalia; Primates; Hominidae
Source: RNAcentral